This is a long non-coding RNA of Dipodomys spectabilis (banner-tailed kangaroo rat), 210 nucleotides long. RefSeq lists it as uncharacterized. The transcript is spliced from 3 exons. Lineage: Eukaryota; Metazoa; Chordata; Mammalia; Rodentia; Heteromyidae. The record is from RefSeq and is a predicted model, not a curated record.
GGCUGUACUCACCAUGGCGGCGGCGGCGGGGAGGAGCCCCGAGCCGAGCCCGGCGGGAGCCACCAGAAGCAGGCUUGCACCUGACCCGCCAUGACGUCACCCACGGAAUUCACAAGCCCGACCCCCCCUCUGCCCGGUGACGACGGCUACGACCCCACGCUGUCGGCGGACGACUACGCGGGCCUGGACCUGGCGGACGUCUUCUGCGAC